Long non-coding RNA from Panicum virgatum (switchgrass), 427 nucleotides. RefSeq lists it as uncharacterized. NCBI's taxonomy places the organism in Eukaryota, Viridiplantae, Streptophyta, Magnoliopsida, Poales, Poaceae. The record is from RefSeq and is a predicted model, not a curated record. The transcript is spliced from 2 exons.
CUACCUUUGGCCACUUAACUUGGUGGAAAUUGCUGUGUACCAACAACAUUAUGGACAAUAAUAUUGUGGUUAUACCAAGCUUGAGAGGCUCUUUUAGUUUAAGAGCCCAGAACUAUUUUCUACUUUAGCUAUUUUUGCCGUAUGCUCUCAAUUGCGCCGAGCUGCUCUACAAUGGUUGGAAAGCUGCUAAAAAGUUACUGGACUUAACAGCUGCAGAAAAUGUUUCCAACAAAAAGCAUAUCUCCGACCAUUCAAAUCAAAUGAUGAUGUCCACUGUUUAGCAUAAAAAAACAACAGCAUCACCAUGUUACAGACAGGGGAUCCCUACCAUUGCAUGAUUUCUGCAACCACCUAGAAGCUCCAAAGACUUACAAAUGCUAUGUAACCUAAUGUACUACCUCCUGCAAUUACAAAUGCUAAACCCUAA